UCGACACCGUCAACUUCGACGACACCGUGGUCUUCUAGGACCGCUAAAAUAUUAGGUACGGUGAUACCUGAUGAAGUACCUGGAAAGGAUGAAAAUCACCAAGGUCCAAACAGAAUAAGAAAAUCAGAAUUUGUCGAAGGUAAAAAAGAUGAUCCUCCUAGUGGGUGUAAACCUGAAUAUCCAGAGAACCUUCAAAUGAAUUUAGAGAUAGGAUUCAAUAAAAUGGAAACACCUGAAAACACCAGUCGUGAAAACGGGGAUUCCCAAAUAGGAUGUGUACUUCCAUCGCAACCAGCAUUUAGUUUAAGCGCAGAUUCGAAUAAUUCAGAAGGGAGAUUAAAAAAACAUGUAACGGCAGAUGAUGAGGAGCAUCAAUCGCAUAGAACUCGAGACCGAGAAUUAUUAGAUUUUGACAGUGAUGACGAUGUGGCGGAUCCUAAUUAUUCAUCAUUAGAAUUAGAA
Anthonomus grandis grandis is the source of this 462-nucleotide long non-coding RNA. RefSeq lists it as uncharacterized. The record is from RefSeq and is a predicted model, not a curated record. The transcript has 3 exons. NCBI's taxonomy places the organism in Eukaryota, Metazoa, Arthropoda, Insecta, Coleoptera, Curculionidae.